Molecule: ribosomal RNA, 253 nt
Filed under: uncultured bacterium
Lineage: Bacteria
Description: partial 16S ribosomal RNA
Rfam family: Bacterial small subunit ribosomal RNA
Source: RNAcentral
UACAGAGGGGGCAAGCGUUGUUCGGAAUUACUGGGCGUAAAGGGCGCGUAGGCGGCCUACUAAGUCGAACGUGAAAUCCCCGGGCUCAACCCGGGAACUGCGUCCGAUACUGGUGGGCUUGAAUCCGGGAGAGGGAUGUGGAAUUCCAGGUGUAGCGGUGAAAUGCGUAGAUAUCUGGAGGAACACCGGUGGCGAAGGCGGCUCUCUGGACGGUGACUGACGCUGAGACGCGAAAGCGUGGGGAGCAAACAGG